Molecule: transfer RNA, 34 nt
Filed under: Blepharisma stoltei
Lineage: Eukaryota; Ciliophora; Heterotrichea; Heterotrichida; Blepharismidae
Description: tRNA-Thr(agt)
Source: RNAcentral
GCCUCUAUAGCUCAGUCGGCAGAGCAUUUGCUUA